This 303-nucleotide unclassified non-coding RNA is filed under the name Hevea brasiliensis (rubber tree). The record is from RNAcentral. Lineage: Eukaryota; Viridiplantae; Streptophyta; Magnoliopsida; Malpighiales; Euphorbiaceae.
UUUCAAUAUUACUUCACCUUCCUACCGCAGCCUCUCUCUCCGGCGAAUACAUAUCCAUAAUCUCCACCGUAGUUGCCGUAUAUUCCGCCGCCGGCGAAUCUCACUUGUCAAGCAUUUUUUUUAUUGGUAAAUGAAAAUAAAGUAGAGUAUAUAAUAUAUUCUUUCCGUUUCUCCAAAUUACCGUUUCAAUAAAAAACGAGGAAAUUGUGACCUCUGAAAGCUGUUGCACUGUUUUCUUCUGCUGUGUUUUUUUUAGGGACGUAUUUUUUCUGUGAAGUUAUUUGGAGGAGAUAUAAAUUUGGG